Molecule: ribosomal RNA, 459 nt
Filed under: uncultured Ottowia sp.
Lineage: Bacteria; Pseudomonadati; Pseudomonadota; Betaproteobacteria; Burkholderiales; Comamonadaceae
Description: bacterial SSU rRNA
Rfam family: Bacterial small subunit ribosomal RNA
Source: RNAcentral
ACCCGCACAAGCGGUGGAUGAUGUGGAUUAAUUCGAUGCAACGCGAAGAACCUUACCUACCCUUGACAUGUCCGGAACUUGCCAGAGAUGGCUUGGUGCCCGAAAGGGAAUCGGAACACAGGUGCUGCAUGGCUGUCGUCAGCUCGUGUCGUGAGAUGUUGGGUUAAGUCCCGCAACGAGCGCAACCCUUGUCAUUAGUUGCUACGAAAGGGCACUCUAAUGAGACUGCCGGUGACAAACCGGAGGAAGGUGGGGAUGACGUCAAGUCCUCAUGGCCCUUAUAGGUGGGGCUACACACGUCACACAAUGGCUGGUACAAAGGGUUGCCAACCCGCGAGGGGGAGCCAAUCCCAUAAAGCCAGUCGUAGUCCGGAUCGCAGUCUGCAACUCGACUGCGUGAAGUCGGAAUCGCUAGUAAUCGUGGAUCAGCAUGUCACGGUGAAUACGUUCCCAGGUCUU